GACGAACGCUGGCGGCGUGCUUAACACAUGCAAGUCGAACGGAAAGGCCCUGCUUUUGUGGGGUGCUCGAGUGGCGAACGGGUGAGUAACACGUGAGUAACCUGCCCUUGACUUUGGGAUAACUUCAGGAAACUGGGGCUAAUACCGGAUAGGAGCUCCUGCUGCAUGGUGGGGGUUGGAAAGUUUCGGCGGUUGGGGGUGGACUCGCGGCUUAUCAGCUUGUUGGUGGGGUAGUGGCUUACCAAGGCUUUGACGGGUAGCCGGCCUGGGAGGGUGACCGGCCACAUUGGGACUGAGAUACGGCCCAGACUCCUACGGGAGGCAGAAGUGGGGAAUAUUGCACAAUGGGCGGAAGCCUGAUGCAGCAACGCCGCGUGCGGGAUGACGGCCUUCGGGUUGUAAACCGCUUUCGCCUGUGACGAAGCGUGAGUGACGGUAAUGGGUAAAGAAGCACCGGCUAACUACGUG
Molecule: ribosomal RNA, 468 nt
Filed under: uncultured bacterium
Lineage: Bacteria
Description: partial 16S ribosomal RNA
Rfam family: Bacterial small subunit ribosomal RNA
Source: RNAcentral